ACGCUCGACACCUACGGGAGCCAGCAGUGGGGAAUAUUGCACAAUGGGGGAAACCCUGAUGCAGCGACGCCGCGUGAAGGAAGAAGUAUCUCGGUAUGUAAACUUCUAUCAGCAGGGAAGAAAAUGACGGUAUCUGACUAAGAAGCCCCGGCUAACUACGUGCCAGCAGCCGCGGUAAUCUGAGCGGGCUGGCAAGGC
This 198-nucleotide ribosomal RNA is filed under the name uncultured bacterium. RNAcentral's name for it is "partial 16S ribosomal RNA". It matches the Rfam family "Bacterial small subunit ribosomal RNA", at positions 328 to 539 of the family's 1533-position model. The record is from RNAcentral.